RNAcentral lists this ribosomal RNA (254 nucleotides) under uncultured bacterium. Its description in RNAcentral is "partial 16S ribosomal RNA". It matches the Rfam family "Bacterial small subunit ribosomal RNA", at positions 524 to 776 of the family's 1533-position model. The record is from RNAcentral.
UACAGAGAGUGCGAGCGUUAUCCGGAAUCAUUGGGCGUAAAGCGUGUGUAGGCGGAGCAGUAAGUCGGGGGUUAAAUCUCUGGGCCCAACCCAGAAUCUGUUCCCGAAACUAUUGUUCUUAGGAGUAUGCAGAGGCAAGUGGAAUUCUGUGUGUAGGGGUAAAAUCCGUAGAUACACGGAGGAACACCAAAAGCGAAGGCAGCUUGCUGGGCAUAUCUUGACGCUGAGACACGAAAGCGUGGGUAGCAAACAGG